Molecule: long non-coding RNA, 539 nt
Filed under: Mustela putorius furo (domestic ferret)
Lineage: Eukaryota; Metazoa; Chordata; Mammalia; Carnivora; Mustelidae
Description: lncRNA (ENSMPUG00000027606.1)
Source: RNAcentral
AUGAUGCUGCCGGGGCCACUGCUGUGCAGAAGUCCAACUGUGCUCAAGGCUGCCGGGAGGGGUCUCCUGCCAGGCCACUGCCCACAGAGUGGCUCAGAGGUGGCCCCUCCACAGGAGCCAUGUGUAGAGAGAGGUUCUGUUUCGGCCCGGGAAGAACCAAAAACCAUGGAUUCCACCUAUGGAAGGUUCACAUUCUCACUGGGGAGGAGUGAGGAAGCACUGCUGGCCCAAUAUAGGACUUUUAAUGUCAAACAAGAAAAACCUUAUUGAAUAUCAAUAGCCAAAGGACAUUAUACUAUAUUGUGGCCACAAAGGAGACCAAAUAAGAAUUUAUGGGUGACUGAGGACAAAUCUAUUACAACUCACUCCAGAUGAUUCAGCACUGUGUCCUUACAGAGAGAAGGUAAUGUCUUCAAAUUGUUAGCAAUUUUAAAAGAUUAUUAAUACUCAUACGCUCAAUGCAGCCUAAUGCCAGAGGGGAAAAAUGAGCUUUUUUUAACUCCUCCUCUUUCAGUAAAACAAUGGAUGGCAUAACAUAC